AUGAGACGGGGAGCUUGGAUGCGUGUCCGGUAGGAGUGACACGUGUGGAUAAGGGCACAUCCAGGGGCAAUACAUUUUUCAAUUAGUUUUUAAGUAAAUUGGGAUUUGAUUGUUCAAUAAGUUUAUUUUUCCUCCACAAAACUGCAAACAUGGGACGUGGAGAAGGACGGGAACAGUAUGAGCUGGCGGCGACCUCUGAGCAGGGAGGCAAGAAGAAGAAUGCCAAGGCCAUGAAGAAGGAGAGGGACAUGGAUGAGUUGAAAAAGGAAGUUGAUCUGGAUGACCAUAAACUGACCCUGGAUGAGCUCAACCGCAAAUACGGCACCGACCUUAGUAGGGGGUUAUCCAGUGCUAAGGCUGCCGAGAACCUUGCCCGUGAUGGCCCCAAUUCCCUGACCCCUCCUCCCACUACCCCUGAGUGGGUGAAGUUCUGCAAGCAGAUGUUUGGCGGGUUCUCCAUGCUGCUGUGGACUGGCGCUCUCCUCUGCUUCCUGGCCUACGGAAUCCAGGCAGCCAUGGAGGAUGAGCCGGCCAAUGAUAACUUGUACCUGGGUGUUGUACUCUCUGCUGUUGUCAUUGUUACUGGCUGUUUCUCCUACUACCAAGAGGCCAAGAGCUCAAAGAUCAUGGACUCCUUCAAGAACCUGGUCCCACAGCAAGCCCUGGUUGUCCGUGAUGGUGAGAAGAUGAACAUCAACGCUCAACAAGUGGUGGUUGGAGAUCUGGUGGAGGUGAAAGGUGGAGAUAGGAUUCCCGCCGAUUUGCGAAUCAUCUCUGCCAGCGGUUGCAAAGUGGACAACUCCUCCCUCACUGGUGAAUCUGAGCCCCAAACCCGUACUCCGGACUACUCCAAUGACAACCCCUGGAGACAAGGAACAUUGCCUUCUUCUCUACCAACUGUGUUGAAGGAACUGCCAGAGGUAUUGUCAUCAACACUGGUGACCGCACUGUUAUGGGUCGUAUUGCUACCCUCGCCUCUGGCCUGGAAGUCGGACGUACCCCAAUCUCUAUUGAAAUUGAGCACUUCAUCCACAUCAUCACCGGUGUGGCCGUCUUCCUGGGCAUGUCUUUCUUUGUCCUGUCCCUCAUCCUCGGAUACUCUUGGCUGGAAGCUGUCAUCUUCCUCAUCGGAAUCAUUGUCGCUAAUGUGCCUGAGGGUCUCCUGGCCACUGUAACUGUGUGUUUAACUCUGACUGCCAAGCGUAUGGCCAAGAAGAACUGCCUGGUGAAGAAUCUCGAAGCUGUUGAGACCUUGGGCUCCACCUCCACCAUUUGCUCUGACAAGACCGGAACCCUGACUCAGAACAGAAUGACCGUGGCUCACAUGUGGUUCGACAACCAGAUCCAUGAGGCUGACACCACAGAGAACCAGAGCGGUACCUCCUUCGACAGGAGCUCUGCCACCUGGGCUGCCCUGGCUAGAGUCGCUGGCCUGUGUAACCGUGCCGUCUUCCUGGCAGAACAGAGCGGUAUUCCUAUCCUUAAAAGAGAUGUGGCUGGUGAUGCCUCAGAGUCUGCCCUGCUGAAGUGUAUUGAGCUGUGCUGUGGGUCUGUGCAAGGCAUGAGAGACCAGUACACCAAGGUUGCUGAGAUCCCAUUCAACUCCACCAACAAAUACCAGCUCUCCGUUCACCUAAACAAGAAUGAGGGUGAGUCCAAGCAUCUGCUGGUGAUGAAGGGAGCCCCUGAGAGGAUCCUGGACCGCUGCUCCACCAUUUUGAUCCAGGGCAAAGAACAGCCUCUGGAUGACGAGAUGAAGGACUCUUUCCAGAACGCCUACAUGGAACUGGGUGGUCUGGGAGAGCGAGUGCUGGGGUUCUGUCAUUUCCAGCUCCCUGAUGACCAGUUCGCUGAGGGCUUCCAGUUUGAUUGUGAAGAGGUGAACUUCCCAACUGAGAAUCUGUGCUUCGUUGGCCUAAUGUCCAUGAUUGACCCUCCCCGUGCUGCUGUGCCUGAUGCUGUGGGAAAGUGCAGGAGUGCUGGAAUCAAGGUUAUCAUGGUCACUGGUGAUCAUCCCAUCACUGCUAAGGCCAUUGCCAAGGGUGUGGGCAUCAUUUCUGAAGGAAACGAGACUGUUGAGGACAUUGCUGCUCGUCUGAACAUUCCAGUCAAUGAAGUUGACCCUAGGGAUGCCAAGGCCUGUGUGGUUCAUGGCGGUGACCUCAAGGACCUGAGCGCUGAACAGUUGGACGACAUCCUGAAAUAUCACACAGAGAUUGUGUUUGCCAGAACCUCUCCUCAGCAGAAGCUUAUUAUAGUGGAGGGCUGCCAGCGCCAGGGUGCUAUUGUGGCUGUGACAGGUGAUGGUGUGAACGAUUCUCCUGCUCUGAAGAAGGCUGACAUCGGUGUUGCUAUGGGGAUCUCUGGAUCGGACGUCUCCAAGCAGGCUGCAGACAUGAUCCUCCUGGAUGACAACUUUGCCUCCAUCGUGACUGGUGUUGAAGAAGGCCGUCUGAUCUUUGACAACUUGAAGAAGUCCAUCGCCUACACCCUGACCAGUAACAUUCCAGAAAUCACACCCUUCCUCUUCUUCAUCAUCGCCAACAUUCCACUGCCCCUAGGAACCGUCACCAUCCUCUGUAUCGACUUGGGAACUGACAUGGUCCCCGCCAUCUCCCUGGCCUACGAAGCUGCUGAGAGUGACAUCAUGAAGAGACAGCCCAGAAACUCCAAAACAGACAAACUGGUGAAUGAAAGACUUAUCAGCAUAGCCUACGGUCAAAUCGGUAUGAUCCAGGCUUUGGCUGGGUUCUUCACAUACUUUGUGAUCCUUGCUGAGAACGGGUUCUUACCCUCCAGACUGCUAGGUAUUCGUGUGGACUGGGACAACAAAUUUUGCAACGACCUGGAGGAUAGCUAUGGUCAGCAGUGGACUUAUGAACAGAGAAAGAUUGUGGAGUUCACCUGCCACACAGCAUUCUUCGCCAGUAUUGUAGUUGUACAGUGGGCUGAUUUGAUCAUCUGUAAGACCAGGAGGAACUCAGUCUUCCAACAAGGAAUGAGGAAUAAGAUUCUCAUCUUCGGCCUGUUUGAGGAGACCGCCCUGGCCGCCUUCCUGUCCUACUGUCCUGGGAUGGGCAUCGCCCUCAGAAUGUACCCACUCAAACCCAGCUGGUGGUUCUGCGCCUUCCCAUACUCUCUCCUCAUCUUUAUUUAUGAUGAAAUCCGAAAACUGAUCAUCCGACGCAGCCCAGGAGGUUGGGUGGAGAGGGAGACGUACUACUAGAAAGCAUCCCGUUUGCAUCGCUCAAGUUCUUGCAUGGUUGUCUUGCUGCUCGGAAUUUUAAAUUCUGUAAAAUGUGGCUGUGUUUUUAUAUAGGGACUGCGUGAUACUAAAACACUGAGAUCGAGAUGAUGAACCAAGACAUUUUACAUUGUGUGCCUUGUUUCUGGAACAGGACCAAUUUUAUACAUGUUUUUAACAGUAAUAUAAAUAAACUUUCAGUCAGCUCCCA
Molecule: RNA transcript, 3455 nt
Organism: Oncorhynchus gorbuscha (pink salmon)
Lineage: Eukaryota; Metazoa; Chordata; Actinopteri; Salmoniformes; Salmonidae
Gene name: sodium/potassium-transporting ATPase subunit alpha-1-like
Exons: 22
Source: RefSeq, a predicted model, not a curated record